GGAUGGAGGGCACGGCGGCUUCCAGUGUGGCUACUCGGUGCAAACAAACCCUCACGCGACGCCUGUGUGCUUACUUAUUAGUGUUUUUCACCUGCUUCACGCCCCACGCCGCCCUCCCUCACUCCCUCCAGGCAUCCAGGUUGUGGUGGUGGUGAUGGGCGGGACGGCGCCUCUCGACGAAUGGCUGUGUAAUGUGGCACUUGUGAACCCUUAUCUCGAAAGGAUGCGCUUCCUGCCCCCGAACCCUCGAUAAAAAAACCCUCCAUAAUGAUUCUUUUACCUAUUUAUGAUGAGAAUACUUGUUUAAUUGCUACUACACUUGUGAAGGAUAAAAAAAAAAAAAAAUUCAAAUCCAUAAAUAACUUUCACUGAUUGUUAAGAUGUAAUUAAAUCUCCUGCAGCUGUU
Long non-coding RNA from Portunus trituberculatus (swimming crab), 406 nucleotides. RefSeq lists it as uncharacterized. The record is from RefSeq and is a predicted model, not a curated record. NCBI's taxonomy places the organism in Eukaryota, Metazoa, Arthropoda, Malacostraca, Decapoda, Portunidae. The transcript is spliced from 2 exons.